UACGUAGGGGGCGAGCGUUGUCCGGAUUUAUUGGGCGUAAAGAGCGUGUAGGCGGUUCGGUAAGUCUGUCGUGAAAUCCUGAGGCUCAACCUCGGGCGUGCGAUGGAUACUGCCGGGCUAGAGGAUGGUAGAGGCGAGUGGAAUUCCCGGUGUAGCGGUGAAAUGCGUAGAUAUCAAGAGGAACACCUGAGGUGAAGACGGGUUGCUGGGCUGACACUGACGCUGAGGCGCGAAAGCUAGGGUAGCAAACGGG
This 253-nucleotide ribosomal RNA is filed under the name uncultured bacterium. RNAcentral's name for it is "partial 16S ribosomal RNA". It matches the Rfam family "Bacterial small subunit ribosomal RNA", at positions 524 to 776 of the family's 1533-position model. The record is from RNAcentral.